This 305-nucleotide ribosomal RNA is filed under the name uncultured bacterium. Its description in RNAcentral is "bacterial SSU rRNA". It matches the Rfam family "Bacterial small subunit ribosomal RNA", at positions 333 to 630 of the family's 1533-position model. The record is from RNAcentral.
ACUGUCCUACGGGGCGCAGCAGUGGGGAAUUUUGGACAAUGGGCGCAAGCCUGAUCCAGCUAUUCCGCGUGUGGGAUGACGGCCCUCGGGUUGUAAACCACUUUAGUAGAGAACGAAAAGGAGCUAUCGAAUAAAUAGCUCUGCUGACGGUACUCUAAGAAUAAGCACCGGCUAACUACGUGCCAGCAGCCGCGGUAAUACAGAGGUCUCAAGCGUUGUUCGGAAUCCCUCGGCGUAAAGCGUGCGUAGGCUGUUUCGUAAGUCGUGUGUGAAAGGCGCGGGCUCAACCCGCGGACCGCACAUGG